CCCUUAGAUGUUCUGGGCCGCACGCGCGCAACACUGAUGCAUUCAACGAGUCUAAAACCUGCUCUGAUAGGGGUGGGUAAUCUUUUGAAUGUGCAUCGUGAUUGGGAUAGAUGAUUGCAAUUUUUCAUCUUCAACGAGGAAUGCCUAGUAAACGCAAGUCAUCAGCUUGCAUUGAUUACGUCCCUGCCCUUUGUACACACCGCCCGUCGCUCCUACCGAUUGAAUGAUCCGAUGAAUAUCAUGGAUUGAGGAUGCAAGUAGGUUAGCCUAUCUUCAUCUUCGAGAAGUGAAGUAAAUCUUAUCAUUUAGAGGAAGGAGAAGUCGUAACA
This 329-nucleotide ribosomal RNA is filed under the name uncultured eukaryote. RNAcentral describes it as "partial 18S ribosomal RNA". It matches the Rfam family "Eukaryotic small subunit ribosomal RNA", at positions 1470 to 1796 of the family's 1831-position model. The record is from RNAcentral.